This is a long non-coding RNA of Piliocolobus tephrosceles (Ugandan red Colobus), 694 nucleotides long. RefSeq lists it as uncharacterized. The transcript is spliced from 3 exons. NCBI's taxonomy places the organism in Eukaryota, Metazoa, Chordata, Mammalia, Primates, Cercopithecidae. The record is from RefSeq and is a predicted model, not a curated record.
UGCAGGCAUGAGCCACUGUGACUGGUCAACUGGAACAGUUUUAAAAGAUAACAUUUUUCUGGAGAUUUUAUACUCUACUGAUCCCAAAUUGAAAGACGCACGAGAGAUUUUAAAACAAAUUGAAUACCGUAAUCUAUUCAAGUAUGUGGGUGAGACCCAGCCAACGGGACAAGUAAAGAUUAAAAAGGAGGACUAUGAAUCUCUUCCAAAAGAGGUUGCUGCUGCUAAACCCAAAGAAUUGCUGGAAGUAAAACUGGAGGCUGAAGAUUUUAUAGUGGAUGUAAGUAAUUAGUCCAGUAAUAAACUGAGUGAAUAAUUUUUUAACGAGAAAGCACCCACCAUUAUAAAAGUAGUACGUGUUCAUUAUAAUUACUUAGAAAAAUGCGGAAAGAUAAAAGGAAGUCAUCUGUGCCCUUACAAAGAGAACCAAUAUUAUUAACCACAAAAAAAUUUGAUUUGUGAUAUUUUGCCAUUAUUUUUAAUAUAAUUGGGGUCAUGUGAUUACAUUGUCUAUAUUAAAAAUUUUUAAUUACACAAGUAACACAUUUUAUUUUUUUUUUGUUGCCUGCAUACAAACACAGAGGAAAAAGUUGUAGGGCCAGGCACUGUGGCUCACGCCUGUAAUCCCAGCACUUUGGGAGGCCAAGGUGGGUGGAUCACCUGAGUCAGGAGUUCGAAACCAGCCUGGCCAACA